GUCAAACGGCUAAUAACAAAAAUAACUUUUGCCGUCAAAACGUCAUAUAAUAAUAGCGGAUAUAUAAUCGAGCGAUUAAUAACGCCUUAGUAAUCAUCAAAAAUAACCAUGAUAACCAUAUUAUUUGCGAAAAUGGGAAAAACACAGAAAAAUGGAAGUUCUUCAUCACCUUUUUUGUGUUGCACAGAAGACAAAAUGUUGGAAACAUCCUUUUAAUUUCUCAAAGUACAGCUCAUUUACCGACAGCAGAAUAUGUCCAGCUCUGAGAUCCACCAGAGUGGCACAUACAGCCGGAAACUCUUCUGUUCAUUUCGCCAACUUCAUGUAAGAGCAUGCCGGUGUUCAUGUCCAUCAGGAAGCGUCUGGAGGGCUCUGUUCCCUGCCUCUUCUCAUAAGCUGGAGGAUUGUAGACUGUGGAGAAAGUAACACACAAUUAAAGACUUACAGCCGGAAACUCUCCUGUUCAUUUCGCUGACUUCCUCCUUGAGCAUCCCAGUGUUCAUGUCCAUCAGGAAGCGUCUGGAGGGUUCUGUUCCCUGCCUGCGUAACUCAACAGGAACCGCUAUGUGGUUCUCCUUACGUUCAGAAGAGUCAUGGCUUUUUAUGUCCUCAUGCUCAGGGCUAGAAACCACUUGCCAUUUAGCUGCUAAUGAAGUUGAAAGGAAACAUGAGUCUAGGCAGUCAACCAUUGAGAUUUUUCUAUAAAGCACUUUGAUUGUAAUGUAUUACAUCAACAAAUAAUCUUUAAUUCAAUGGC
Long non-coding RNA from Megalobrama amblycephala (Wuchang bream), 757 nucleotides. RefSeq lists it as uncharacterized. The record is from RefSeq and is a predicted model, not a curated record. NCBI's taxonomy places the organism in Eukaryota, Metazoa, Chordata, Actinopteri, Cypriniformes, Xenocyprididae. The transcript has 5 exons.